Molecule: ribosomal RNA, 200 nt
Filed under: uncultured bacterium
Lineage: Bacteria
Description: partial 16S ribosomal RNA
Rfam family: Bacterial small subunit ribosomal RNA
Source: RNAcentral
AGAGUUUGAUCCUGGCUCAGAGCGAACGCUGGCGGCGUGCCUAACACAUGCAAGUCGAACGUGAAAUGGGGCAACCCAAAGUAAAGUGGCGUACGGGUGAGUAACACGUAGGUAAUCUACCAAAGUGUCUGGAAUAACCUGCCGAAAGGCGGGCUAAUACUGGAUAGAGCGACGAAGUCCGUAAUGGGAUUUUUCGGGAA